AUGCAUUCUCCUCGCAAUGCUAACUUUAUUAGGAACCCAAUUCUAAACUGCACGUUAAACCUGUCAUCAUUUAUUCACCCUCAAAGUGUCAGCAACUGGCGCGUGAGUAAGUGUGCUGCAGUGCUUCCUAGGAGUGGAUGAGAGGAGUAUUUGGCAGGUUUGGGAUCAGACCUUUCACGUUACCUGGAGCGUCUGGAGCAGGUGCAGUCAGCUUCGCUCGCUUCGCGCUGGGAGGGCCACCUUCCAGCACAUUCUCAGCCAUUGCGAUUGAAAUGAGCUUCUGGACAGAAGUUGUGUGGGGGGAUUCAAAGCGGAGGAUCCUU
Long non-coding RNA from Cyprinus carpio (common carp), 323 nucleotides. RefSeq lists it as uncharacterized. The record is from RefSeq and is a predicted model, not a curated record. NCBI's taxonomy places the organism in Eukaryota, Metazoa, Chordata, Actinopteri, Cypriniformes, Cyprinidae. The transcript is spliced from 2 exons.